Molecule: long non-coding RNA, 531 nt
Organism: Asparagus officinalis (garden asparagus)
Lineage: Eukaryota; Viridiplantae; Streptophyta; Magnoliopsida; Asparagales; Asparagaceae
Exons: 3
Source: RefSeq, a predicted model, not a curated record
UUCUAUUUAGCACAAUUAUUUUUCAAUUCUGUCAAUUGUCCAUGCUUAACUAUAUUUUAAUUUUUAGAGAUAUUUCAACAUCGAAGACAAUCCCGUAGGGUGGGAAUUUUUAUUUGGAUACCAGGGAAAGUUCAAGCAUUCUCUUCGGGAGUGGAGACAUGAGAUAAAGAAGAAAUGCUUUGAUUGUUUCACUCACAACUGGGAGAGGAUAUACAAGCGAGAUAAGAGGGUUGAGCCUGAGCACUUAGCUGCACUUAUAAUAUUGUGGGGCCAAGAGGAGCACCAGGAAAAAUGUCGGAGAAAUAAACUUAAUCGAUGGAAAAAAGAUUAUGAUCAUCAUACGGGGACUACUUCAUUUGCCCAGAUUGAGGAUCAAUUUUGUAGGACAACGAACGCUCCCUUUAUCCCGCUACCAGAACUGCACAGGAGAACGAUGGUUCAAUUUAAGAAGGGGUAUGAUGACGAUGAGAAUAAAAAACAAAAGCUAGAAUUGGCCAAGAAAAUGCAGGUUAACUAAUUAUCUUAGCUCUU